CCUACGGGAGGCAGCAGUGGGGAAUAUUGCACAAUGGGGGAAACCCUGAUGCAGCGACGCCGCGUGAGCGAUGAAGUAUUUCGGUAUGUAAAGCUCUAUCAGCAGGGAAGAAGAUGACGGUACCUGACUAAGAAGACCCGGGUAACUACGUGCCAGCAGCCGCGGUAAUACGUAGGGGGCAAGCUUUAUCCGGAUUUACUGGGUGUAAAGGGGGCGUAGACGGCGAUGCAAGCCAGAUGGUAAGGCCCGGGGCUCAACCCCGGGAUUGCAGUUGGAACUGUGUGGCUGGAGUGUCGGAGAGGCAGGCGGAAUUCCUAGUGUAGCGGUGAAAUGCGUAGAUAUUAGGAGGAACACCAGUGGCGAAGGCAGCUUACUAAACUGCCACUGACAUUGAUGCUCGAAAGUGUGGGUAUCAAACAGGAUUAGAUACCCCUGUAGUC
RNAcentral lists this ribosomal RNA (440 nucleotides) under uncultured bacterium. RNAcentral's name for it is "partial 16S ribosomal RNA". It matches the Rfam family "Bacterial small subunit ribosomal RNA", at positions 338 to 795 of the family's 1533-position model. The record is from RNAcentral.